AAAUUGAAGAGUUUGAUCAUGGCUCAGAUUGAACGCUGGCGGCAGGCCUAACACAUGCAAGUCGAACGGUAACAGGAAAAAGCUUGCUUUUUUGCUGACGAGUGGCGGACGGGUGAGUAAUGUCUGGGAAACUGCCUGAUGGAGGGGGAUAACUACUGGAAACGGUAGCUAAUACCGCAUAACGUCGCAAGACCAAAGAGGGGGACCUUCGGGCCUCUUGCCAUCGGAUGUGCCCAGAUGGGAUUAGCUAGUUGGUGGGGUAACGGCUCACCAAGGCGACGAUCCCUAGCUGGUCUGAGAGGAUGACCAGCCACACUGGAACUGAGACACGGUCCAGACUCCUACGGGAGGCAGCAGUGGGGAAUAUUGCACAAUGGGCGCAAGCCUGAUGCAGCCAUGCCGCGUGUAUGAAGAAGGCCUUCGGGUUGUAAAGUACUUUCAGCGGGGAGGAAGGGAGUAAAGUUAAUACCUUUGCUCAUUGACGUUACCCGCAGAAGAAGCACCGGCUAACUCCGUGCCAGCAGCCGCGGUAAUACGGAGGGUGCAAGCGUUAAUCGGAAUUACUGGGCGUAAAGCGCACGCAGGCGGUUUGUUAAGUCAGAUGUGAAAUCCCCGGGCUCAACCUGGGAACUGCAUCUGAUACUGGCAAGCUUGAGUCUCGUAGAGGGGGGUAGAAUUCCAGGUGUAGCGGUGAAAUGCGUAGAGAUCUGGAGGAAUACCGGUGGCGAAGGCGGCCCCCUGGACGAAGACUGACGCUCAGGUGCGAAAGCGUGGGGAGCAAACAGGAUUAGAUACCCUGGUAGUCCACGCCGUAAACGAUGUCGACUUGGAGGUUGUGCCCUUGAGGCGUGGCUUCCGGAGCUAACGCGUUAAGUCGACCGCCUGGGGAGUACGGCCGCAAGGUUAAAACUCAAAUGAAUUGACGGGGGCCCGCACAAGCGGUGGAGCAUGUGGUUUAAUUCGAUGCAACGCGAAGAACCUUACCUGGUCUUGACAUCCACGGAAGUUUUCAGAGAUGAGAAUGUGCCUUCGGGAACCGUGAGACAGGUGCUGCAUGGCUGUCGUCAGCUCGUGUUGUGAAAUGUUGGGUUAAGUCCCGCAACGAGCGCAACCCUUAUCCUUUGUUGCCAGCGGUCCGGCCGGGAACUCAAAGGAGACUGCCAGUGAUAAACUGGAGGAAGGUGGGGAUGACGUCAAGUCAUCAUGGCCCUUACGACCAGGGCUACACACGUGCUACAAUGGCGCAUACAAAGAGAAGCGACCUCGCGAGAGCAAGCGGACCUCAUAAAGUGCGUCGUAGUCCGGAUUGGAGUCUGCAACUCGACUCCAUGAAGUCGGAAUCGCUAGUAAUCGUGGAUCAGAAUGCCACGGUGAAUACGUUCCCGGGCCUUGUACACACCGCCCGUCACACCAUGGGAGUGGGUUGCAAAAGAAGUAGGUAGCUUAACCUUCGGGAGGGCGCUUACCACUUUGUGAUUCAUGACUGGGGUGAAGUCGUAACAAGGUAACCGUAGGGGAACCUGCGGUUGGAUCACCUCCUUA
This 1542-nucleotide ribosomal RNA is filed under the name Escherichia coli. RNAcentral's name for it is "bacterial SSU rRNA". It matches the Rfam family "Bacterial small subunit ribosomal RNA". The record is from RNAcentral. Lineage: Bacteria; Pseudomonadati; Pseudomonadota; Gammaproteobacteria; Enterobacterales; Enterobacteriaceae.